RNAcentral lists this ribosomal RNA (253 nucleotides) under uncultured bacterium. RNAcentral describes it as "partial 16S ribosomal RNA". It matches the Rfam family "Bacterial small subunit ribosomal RNA", at positions 524 to 776 of the family's 1533-position model. The record is from RNAcentral.
UACAGAGGAUGCAAGCGUUAUCCGGAAUGAUUGGGCGUAAAGCGUCUGUAGGUGGCUUUUUAAGUCCGCCGUCAAAUCCCAGGGCUCAACUCUGAACAGGCGGUGGAAACUACCAAGCUGGAGUACGGUAGGGGCAGAGAGAAUUUCCGGUGGAGCGGUGGAAUGCGUAGAGAUCGGAAAGAACACCAACGGCGAAAGCACGCUGCUGGGCCGACACUGACACUGAGAGACGAAAGCUAGGGGAGCGAAUGGG